This 809-nucleotide long non-coding RNA is filed under the name Elaeis guineensis (African oil palm). RNAcentral's name for it is "long non-coding RNA (EGUI_LNC030765)". The record is from RNAcentral. Lineage: Eukaryota; Viridiplantae; Streptophyta; Magnoliopsida; Arecales; Arecaceae.
UGAGCCCAAAGUCAGGGCCGGAGGCAGCUUGGAAUCAACGCCUAGAAAAGCGUGAGUCCGCACCCUUGUGCGCUGUAAGGUGGUCUGGGUUCCGGCCCCAUGUGAGCGAUCGCGUGAGGGGCGCAGCGGCUCGAAUGAAAAGCCGGACUUUUCCCUCAUCGAUGGUCGCCACUGCUACCCUAUAUCGCACCCGAAUCCUCCCUCCGGAGUAUCGUCUUCUCCAUCUCCGAGGCCAGCAGCGGCAGCGACGAGGCUGUGGGUCGGCGGACCGCCCUUAAGGAAUCAGCAUUCGCCUGACCGUUCUGCUGCGGGCCUCUCCAAGAUCUCGCCUCUCUCGCCUCCGCCUCCGGCCACGGUCUCUUCAUCCCCUUCCUCAUGUGCCUCUUCGGCACCGCCUAGUCCUGCACUUCCUCUAUUUCGAGAGCUGGGCCACCGGUCAUCUCACAGACCUCCUCUCUGCCACCUAGCCCGCUGCCGCUUCCACCGACCCUAAUCCCCCGAUCCCCUGCCCAAGAACCCUAAUCUCUCGAUCCUGCCUCAGCCCGCCGCCUCCUCUCCAAGGUGAUAGACAAGUUGCCCAAACGGGCCAAUUCGGGUCCCGGGUCUGGAGCGGGUUUAGGUCUUGAUUCUGCUAAAAUUUUUGGAGCCUACCCGGCUCCAACUCCACCGUUUGCUUAACCAGGUUGCAUCCUGGACUCCCGGAUCAUCAAUGGUUAAGUAUGGCAAGUUUAUUAAUUAUUUUGAGUCAUUAAUGAUAAUUUGGUCCUUUUUAUAUUGUUCUCCAAAUUUUACAUGCAUGUUAAGCGUGG